This 468-nucleotide ribosomal RNA is filed under the name uncultured bacterium. RNAcentral describes it as "partial 16S ribosomal RNA". It matches the Rfam family "Bacterial small subunit ribosomal RNA", at positions 28 to 507 of the family's 1533-position model. The record is from RNAcentral.
GACGAACGCUGGCGGCGUGCUUAACACAUGCAAGUCGAACGGAAAGGCCCUGCUUUUGUGGGGUGCUCGAGUGGCGAACGGGUGAGUAACACGUGAGUAACCUGUCCUUGACUUUGGGAUAACUUCAGGAAACUGGGGCUAAUACCGGAUAGGAGCUCCUGCUGCAUGGUGGGGGUUGGAAAGUUUCGGCGGUUGGGGAUGGACUCGCGGCUUAUCAGCUUGUUGGUGGGGUAGUGGCUUACCAGGGCUUUGACGGGUAGCCGGCCUGAGAGGGUGACCGGACACAUUGGGACUGAGAUACGGCCCAGACUCCUACGGGAGGCAGCAGUGGGGAAUAUUGCACAAUGGGCGGAAGCCUGAUGCAGCAACGCCGCGUGCGGGAUGACGGCCUUCGGGUUGUAAACCGCUUUCGCCUGUGACGAAGCGUGAGUGACGGUAAUGGGUAAAGAAGCACCGGCUAACUACGUG